This 1425-nucleotide ribosomal RNA is filed under the name Salmonella enterica subsp. enterica serovar Virchow. RNAcentral describes it as "partial 23S ribosomal RNA". It matches the Rfam family "Bacterial large subunit ribosomal RNA", at positions 1394 to 2802 of the family's 2925-position model. Lineage: Bacteria; Pseudomonadati; Pseudomonadota; Gammaproteobacteria; Enterobacterales; Enterobacteriaceae. The record is from RNAcentral.
AGGCGAGGCCGAAAGGCGUAGUCGAUGGGAAACGGGUUAAUAUUCCCGUACUUGGUGUUACUGCGAAGGGGGGACGGAGAAGGCUAUGUUGGCCGGGCGACGGUUGUCCCGGUUUAAGCGUGUAGGUGUGUGUUCCAGGUAAAUCCGGUUCACUUUAACACUGAGGCGUGACGACGAGGCACUACGGUGCUGAAGCAACAAAUGCCCUGCUUCCAGGAAAAGCCUCUAAGCAUCAGGUAACAUCAAAUCGUACCCCAAACCGACACAGGUGGUCAGGUAGAGAAUACCAAGGCGCUUGAGAGAACUCGGGUGAAGGAACUAGGCAAAAUGGUGCCGUAACUUCGGGAGAAGGCACGCUGACACGUAGGUGAAGUGAUUUACUCAUGGAGCUGAAGUCAGUCGAAGAUACCAGCUGGCUGCAACUGUUUAUUAAAAACACAGCACUGUGCAAACACGAAAGUGGACGUAUACGGUGUGACGCCUGCCCGGUGCCGGAAGGUUAAUUGAUGGGGUCAGCGCAAGCGAAGCUCCUGAUCGAAGCCCCGGUAAACGGCGGCCGUAACUAUAACGGUCCUAAGGUAGCGAAAUUCCUUGUCGGGUAAGUUCCGACCUGCACGAAUGGCGUAAUGAUGGCCAGGCUGUCUCCACCCGAGACUCAGUGAAAUUGAACUCGCUGUGAAGAUGCAGUGUACCCGCGGCAAGACGGAAAGACCCCGUGAACCUUUACUAUAGCUUGACACUGAACAUUGAGCCUUGAUGUGUAGGAUAGGUGGGAGGCUUUGAAGUGUGGACGCCAGUCUGCAUGGAGCCGACCUUGAAAUACCACCCUUUAAUGUUUGAUGUUCUAACGUGGACCCGUAAUCCGGGUUGCGGACAGUGUCUGGUGGGUAGUUUGACUGGGGCGGUCUCCUCCUAAAGAGUAACGGAGGAGCACGAAGGUUGGCUAAUCCUGGUCGGACAUCAGGAGGUUAGUGCAAUGGCAUAAGCCAGCUUGACUGCGAGCGUGACGGCGCGAGCAGGUGCGAAAGCAGGUCAUAGUGAUCCGGUGGUUCUGAAUGGAAGGGCCAUCGCUCAACGGAUAAAAGGUACUCCGGGGAUAACAGGCUGAUACCGCCCAAGAGUUCAUAUCGACGGCGGUGUUUGGCACCUCGAUGUCGGCUCAUCACAUCCUGGGGCUGAAGUAGGUCCCAAGGGUAUGGCUGUUCGCCAUUUAAAGUGGUACGCGAGCUGGGUUUAGAACGUCGUGAGACAGUUCGGUCCCUAUCUGCCGUGGGCGCUGGAGAACUGAGGGGGGCUGCUCCUAGUACGAGAGGACCGGAGUGGACGCAUCACUGGUGUUCGGGUUGUCAUGCCAAUGGCACUGCCCGGUAGCUAAAUGCGGAAGAGAUAAGUGCUGAAAGCAUCUAAGCACGAAACUUGCCCCGA